This 30-nucleotide small RNA is filed under the name Bombyx mori (domestic silkworm). Its description in RNAcentral is "ovarian small RNA-30830". Lineage: Eukaryota; Metazoa; Arthropoda; Insecta; Lepidoptera; Bombycidae. The record is from RNAcentral.
UGAACUGGGAUAUAAAGUCCAAGUGACGGA